AUGGAGGAAAAUGACUCCAUCCUUGGGUUUUCAAAUAAAAAAACAAACGAAGAUGACUUUGUAGCUCAAAAUCUGUUGAGAGCUUAUCGAAUUGAUGAUUCACCAGAAGAAAUUAUUGUGUUCCCCCAUAAGGUAACUCAUUCCUCUUUUUCUGCUCUCCUUUCCCUACUAUUGAGUGUGCUUUCUAGUUUGGUAAUAUUUCUGUUUCAAAUGCUAUGAUUCCUUUGGUUGAUUUAAAACUUGCUCAGAGUUGAUGAACAAAGAAACACAUAAUUUUGAUAAAAUUAUUAACCCUUCUUUUUGGUGAGAAAUAGAGGGAAAAAAAAAUUCUGAUAAACGAAUCGGGAGAUCUUUUUGCUCUUUUCAGAGGUUUGAAAUUUUGUAUCGUUGGUUUCUCAGUGUUGAUUCUCAUUUUCUCUCUGGUUUUGUAUGAGUCUCGUGCAUUAAUUUAAUCAUAUUUCACUUUUCGGCCCCUGAAAAAUCAAGGAGACGCUGACAAGCGAUGUUGGACAAAACUCAAUCGAGCACAGCAGGCUGUUGCUGGGAGCAUAUUUGGUUAA
RNAcentral lists this long non-coding RNA (560 nucleotides) under Prunus dulcis (almond). Its description in RNAcentral is "sRNA ncRNA". The record is from RNAcentral. Lineage: Eukaryota; Viridiplantae; Streptophyta; Magnoliopsida; Rosales; Rosaceae.